RNAcentral lists this ribosomal RNA (253 nucleotides) under uncultured Sneathia sp. RNAcentral describes it as "partial 16S ribosomal RNA". It matches the Rfam family "Bacterial small subunit ribosomal RNA", at positions 102 to 355 of the family's 1533-position model. The record is from RNAcentral. Lineage: Bacteria; Fusobacteriati; Fusobacteriota; Fusobacteriia; Fusobacteriales; Leptotrichiaceae.
ACGGGUGAGUAACGCGUAAAGAACUUGCCCUUUAGACUGGGAUAACAGAGGGAAACUUCUGAUAAUACUGGAUAAGUUAGUAUAUCGCAUGAUAUGCAAAUGAAAGCUACGGCACUAAAGGAGAGCUUUGCGUCCUAUUAGCUAGUUGGUGAGGUAAGAGCUUACCAAGGCGAUGAUAGGUAGCCGGCCUGAGAGGGUGGACGGCCACAAGGGGACUGAGAUACGGCCCUUACUCCUACGGGAGGCAGCAGUA